RNAcentral lists this long non-coding RNA (632 nucleotides) under Cricetulus griseus (Chinese hamster). RNAcentral's name for it is "lncRNA (ENSCGRG00000025659.1)". The record is from RNAcentral. Lineage: Eukaryota; Metazoa; Chordata; Mammalia; Rodentia; Cricetidae.
AUGCCCACAUUCAGCCGUCAAUCUUUAGUUAGCAUAUCAGUCACACAAGGUUCUAGGGUGGAUCAUAUGAGGUCUUUUUUGGCUUUGAAACUUCCACCAUCUGCAGAGGCAAGAGAACCCAAGUUCAAAGUCAGUCUGAUCUACAUAGCAAGUUCCCAGCCAGUGAAACAACAGCAACAAAACCAAAACUUCAUCACCUUAUUUGGUCUUAGCAUACCGGAAACCACUCUGAUCUCUGGCGGGUUCCCUGUUACUUUGAAGCAUUCUGUGCCUCUCGCAUGUCUUAACGUCUGGGUAGGAAGACCUCAGAAGAGAUCUGAUUUGAUGGUCACCAAAUCACCAAACCACCGUGAGAUCAAGGAAGCGGUGCCAACAACAUGGAGAGAGUGUCUGGGAGGAGAGUCUGGAUUCAAAAGACCCAGCAGGGACUGCUCUGUGAUCAAAUCCGACUUGACAGGCAGGGCCAUUUGCUCUGCUGUCAUCUCUAAGCAGGGAUCUUGGAUGACAUAUUUGGUAUGCUCUUGAGAUGCCACAGUGUGUAAACGGAAGGGCAGACAUAUGUUCAAGCCAUGAGGGGAAAACAAAGCUGUGCAUGGUCAAGAUGACUCAGGCCUCUCCAGUUCCUAAUAAAC